CUUGCUUUGCACUUACUCCAACAAUCCAUUGAGCAUCUGCUAUAGUUUGGAUGUUUGACAUCUCCGAACCUCAUGUUGAAAUCUGAUCCCCAGGGUGGCGAUGUUGGGAGGUGGGGCCUAGUGGGAGGUGUUUGGUUAAUGGGGGCGGAUCCCUCAUGAAUAACUUGGUGCCAUUCUCAUGGGAGUGAGUUCUCACCCUAUUAGCUCCCAUGACAGCUGUUUGUUAAAAAGAUCCUGGCACCUCCCCCACCCUCUUGCUUCUUCUUUCGCCAUGUGAUCUCUGCGGUCUCUGCACAUAAUGGUUCCCCUUCUCCUUCUGCUAUGAGUGGAAGCAGCCAGAAGCUUUCAUCAGAAGCAGACGCUGGUGCCAUACCUGCAGAACUGUCAGCCAAGCAUAAUGUAAAAUUACACUGCUCUACUGCCUUGAAGUUAGAAGAGCCUGUGUGACUUGCUUUGGUCACUAAAAUUCCACUGAUUGAAAUUGACAUAUGUCACUUUCAGAUGGAAGCUUACGUGGCCAGGUGAAAAUUAGUUUUUGCCCUCCUGCCAGGACAACCAGGGACAUUCUGGAUGGUGGAAGCUCUAUGUGCCUGGGUCUCUAGGGGAGGAGACUUGGGGCAAAGAAAACUCCCCGUCAUCCCUCACUGGACACUUUGCAUAAAUGAGAAAUAAACCUUUGCUUUUAAAAAGGACUGAAAUUUGAUUAUCGUUUUUGAUGGGGUUCCUCAAGAGCAUUAAGUCUAAAUGCCCCCAGACAUCCAUUGUAGAUACUGUCAUGUCUGAAUGGUAGUCCUGAGAUUGCGGCAGCCCUCACAUGAUGAGCCAGAGGAGGAAGCCUCAUGUGAAAGAAAGCAGGACCCACAGCCAUAGUUGCACAGAUCUAUUCAAGCCACGCUGAUCACUGCGCUAACCUCUGGAUUUGUUUGGUUACAGCAGUGAGUUUUCAGUUACUUGCAGCCUAACACAUAUGUUGCUUGAGGUUUAGCUUUUCUGGAUCGCCCUUUUUCUUAGCCCUCCACUCCCAGCCCAAGGUGGCAAUAGAGAAGGUCAGCCUACCUCCCAUCACUCCCUUGCCUUCCGCUCCUCACUCUGAGUGGGCUCUUUCCCUCACUCAAUUCUUUUUUGGCCUCCUAUCCUGGUGACCUGUAAUGAAGAGGAGUCCUCAUAAUUAAUCAUUUGGACCAACCAUGACUUUAGCUCUGAGGUUUGUGUAGAGCCCAGCCCUUCCAUGGGGAACCUAGUGUGGAUGCCCUAGCCUUUCCCAGAAAAUCACCCUUUGAGCACUUCUCAGUUUGCUUGACAAGUUCAAAGUCAUGAGCAUUUUUGAGGUAGAGUGGAGAGGACUCCACCAGACUAUUUCCCCCUAGGAUGCUGAGAGAGUGAGAAAGAGGGUUGGUGCAUACUCAACUGAAAGGAGAUGUAAAGGACAACCGUGUGCUCUUCCAGAUCCAUUGACCCAUGCUCUGCUCUUUUUCACCCUGGCCUGUGCCCUGUGAGACUGAGCUCUGCAGACUACACCACCCAAGCUCUCUUGCCUUCUGGCUUCUAGAUUGGUAGGGCCAAUAGGAGGCAGCAGCAGGAGAUUAGAAGGAGAGACUGUCAGGUAGGGAUAUUAUUCCCUCAACACUGGGAGGAUUGGCAUCCCUUUAGGACCACAGCUCCUGCCGAGUGCCCUUCAUCCACAGCUGUGUCUCUCCCCAGAAUCUGGGAUCUUUGUCUCUCUUUACUCCUUUAGGCUAGGGGUAGUAAUGGCUCCCUGGUAUUUCUAGUCCCAGGGUGUUUCAUCAGCUCUUAGGCAUUCCCCACUGACCUCUGUGUAUGCCUCUGUCAAUAGAACAAUUAAACUCCUUCACUUGAAACCUUUAAAUGUGCAUCUGCUUCCUGCCAGAACCCUGUAAUGAAUAACAGUUCUAUGAUUUUAUUCCUGUUUUACAGAUAAAAAAAUGGGGACUCAGGAGUCCAAAUGACCUGCCUUUAAAAAGUCACUGGUAGCAAAGGGUGAAGCUGCUUUGAGACCAUGUUUUCCUGAUCCAGGUUUUGUAAUUGAUCAACUCAAUCCCUUGAUGCCCACCAAUCCCUACUGGACAUCAAGAGUGAGAGUCACAAGCAGAUGUCUCUCAAAUGGGAACUGGCUGUCAC
RNAcentral lists this long non-coding RNA (2139 nucleotides) under Homo sapiens (human). RNAcentral's name for it is "HSALNT0097512". Lineage: Eukaryota; Metazoa; Chordata; Mammalia; Primates; Hominidae. The record is from RNAcentral.